This 1204-nucleotide long non-coding RNA is filed under the name Mytilus galloprovincialis (Mediterranean mussel). The record is from RNAcentral. Lineage: Eukaryota; Metazoa; Mollusca; Bivalvia; Mytilida; Mytilidae.
AUCCAUAAUUGUCAACCAUUUUCCAAAGUGUACAAAACGUACACUUGGGGGGAAGGGGUUAAAAAAUCAACAUUUUUACCGUACGCUUUUUUUUUCCAGAAUUUAUUUCGUUUCCGUAGGGAAGGUCGAUGUAUAAAAUGGAGAAUUGGCUUGGGUGUAUUUCUCUUCUUAUUUCUUCUUUAUUAUUUUUACUUGAUGAUAUUUAUUUCGAUAUCAUAAUUCUCCUCAAUCCGGAUUGAACGAUUAAAAGAUCAAAUCAUAUGAAAACUCAAUUUUUCAAAAAUGUAAACUUGUAAAUUUUUUAAACAAAAAGUUUGCAAGCAUUUCUCAGUACCCCCAAUUGUCAAUUUCACCUGCUUUAUUAUAGAUCGUUAUCGUUUCACUCUGUUUAAUAAACAAAACUGAUGGAAACACUAAAUUCUUUGAAUGUUUUGAUUUUGACAAGACACCAUUUUGUGAAAAGAUUUUAAACUGGUACUCGAUUAAUUUCCUUGUAAUGUAUUCCAAAACAGUAAACCAGUAAACCGGAAGUAAACUAAUUUUUCUUAGUAUAAGCCUCCUUUAAUUAGGAGCACCUCCAUAUGAAGUUUAACCUUACCCUUAAAAAAUAUCCAAUAUAUGUACACGUUACAGUAUAUACACAAACGAUAAUAGUGCCAUGAAUGGCAUAUUUACAGGGACUUUUUAAAUAGAAAUACAGGCGGGAAAUUUAAAAACUUAAAAUGUUUUAAAACAUUACACUUUUAUUGAUUGCUGUCUUAAGCUCUGAUUCCAUCAACAACUGUCAGUCCAUACUUUACCAAUGCAAUAUAACCAUGCAUUUCCCUUUCUUUGAUUCUUAGCAUAGUUUAUGUGCCCUUUGUUAAUCUUUUGCAUGCUCUAGGUGCCCUUUUUCAUUGGAGUUCCCACUGUGUGAUAGGAGAAACACUAAUCUUUGAACUCUUUAUUCUAACAAAACACAAGCAUCACAGAUAGAUGUCAUCAAAUAAACCAGUCAGAUAUGUUUUAGUUUAUUUUCAAUGCAAAUUUCUAUAUUAAACUAAAAUAUAAUAAACAGGAUCUUCUUUUUAUUAAGAAUGAUUGAUCAUUGUUCUCUUGAAAUCUGAAAAUGGUUGAUGUACACUUUUUGAGGGAGGGUGGGGGGUCUGAAAAAGUGUACGUUUUGUACACUUUGGAAAAUGGUUGACAAUUAUGGAUGACCCCU